GUGGACAGACUCCACAUGGAGUGAAAAGGCUUUGCCGACCGUCAACUUACACAGGGCAACAAGAAAAGCCAAUCAGAUUGCCUCCUAUGCCCAACCAGUCACCUACCUGCCUCAGCUCUGGACUCUGAGCUCUGCCAGCCCCAGAGAUUUGAGUCAAGCCAGAACAGCCUCAUCUCAGGCAGUGAAAGAAUCCCAAGAGGAUGCUACCUAAACACAAAUUUAAUAUUCUGGUGGUUGGAUUUUCCCUCCUUCCCCUUGGGUUUGUUCUGUUUUGUGGUGUUGGGGACCUAACUAGGGCCUUGGCUGUAUCAGACAAGCGCGCUCAACCCCGAGCUACAUCUCCAGCCCCUGAAUGUAUUAAUUCGGAAUGUGAUUCUAAUCCGUUUUUCCCAUCCCUAAAAUUCCUGGUAAUCUGGUUUGUUCCAGAGCUAAAUAAAACAGACAAGAUUUUGUGUG
This 456-nucleotide long non-coding RNA is filed under the name Rattus norvegicus (Norway rat). RNAcentral describes it as "long non-coding RNA NONRATT019987". The record is from RNAcentral. Lineage: Eukaryota; Metazoa; Chordata; Mammalia; Rodentia; Muridae.